GCUUACAUGUAUAAAUAUAUGUGUACAUUAAUUAUAGAUGCACAUACACAAAUUAUAGCCUAUUAUCAUGACUCCAAGGCUAAGCUUCGUGAAUAAUUUUCUGCUCUCCACGGACCGUAUAAAGCAUAGUGACUCUGGUGUUUCACAGCUUCCUCUUUUGCUACACUGUCCUCUUGCAGAGGGAAAAAAAUGUGACCAGAGAAGAGAAGAGAGCUCUUGGAGUUGCCGUUAGUUUAGCUCAACUAUUUAUGCAGCUUCACAAGCAACUAUAAAUAAGACAGAGAGUCCCUUUAGGACAUCUUGCGAGACAUGGUCUGGAGUAAUUUCAAGAAACAGAGAGGGAAGAAGGAAUAAGAGGGGCCAAGAAAAGAUCCAGAGAGAGAGACCUCACACAACGGAGCGAAAGGAGAGAGGGAUGCGGACUAUCACAGAAGCCAGAAGGAAGGAACUUCCAACAUGCAGACGAAAUGCAUCACCUCCUCACACACGUAUGUCAUUUCCUCAAAGGCAUGGAGCUAGUUGUCUGCGGGAUCCUCUUCAGCUCUGAGAAGUAAGAUUCUAAUGUUUACUCCAUCUCACAGCUAAGGGUCUUCAACCAAACCACUUUCUUCGCCAGGCCUUCGGCGGUUGGCUGCCCCUGCCCUCCUGGCCAGGGCCCACUCUUCAUGCACUUUCUGCCUUCUCUUCUGAGAUGAGACCAUUAGCAGCCAAGAGUGAUCUUGUUAUACCUGUGAAGGCAAAGCUGGAUCCUGUGCCAACCCCACCUCCCCUCCCACCUCAAGUACAACCAAAUGCUUCAAUGGUCCCCACUGAUUGCAGCUUUACAUUUUGAAUGUGAUUAAUUUGAUGAAGACCUUCAGGUUAGGUGUCCUGUUGGUUUUUCUUCGCCAUUGGAUUUCCAGCCCUGGCGUGAGCUCAGGAAGCAAGACUCUAGCCCUGCGCUUCCCACUGCUUUGAAUGGUCUUCCCCCAGAUAGCCGACUUCCUGGAAGACUCUGCCUCUCUCCCACCACCUUGAUCCCUGACCGUCCUGUUAAAAACACACCUCAGUCCCUCAGCCGGCUUUCUUUUACUUCAUAGCACUUGUCUCCACCUGAAGUUGCCUCCUCUGUUUAUCUUUUUCUUUAUAUUUGUUCUUUGCUUGUUUGGUGCCUGUCUCCCUGCAGCUGACUGUAAACUCCGAGGGAAGCGAUCGUGCUCUGCUGUUCACUUCUGCACCGCAGUCCCUGGGAUGGGACUUAGCACGAUCCACGCCCCGUAAACGUUUGUGAAAUGAAUAGAGGCGUUGUGUGAAAAGUAUUUUUGUAUGGAAAUGAAGGAAGGAAGGAUGGAAAAAUGGAAAUAAGAAAAGAACAAAAAAGGAAAGAAGGAAGAAAGAACUCUACAAGGACUCUCAUAUGGCUAAUCUUCACAUUCAGCUGGAGGAACCCUUACGCCUAUAUUACAGCUUCUUGUUGCCCCAGUGUUUUUAAGAAAAACAGUGAAAACGAAUGGCCUGAGAGAGUCAGCAGACACUGACGCGGGCUCUGCCCUGCCACAGUGCCGAUGUUCUCUGGGCUAACAAGGGAGCAGGGCUGGAGGGUCUCUGAUGUUCCACCCCCCAUUACAAUUCUGUGGUUCUAAACUUUUAAUUCCGAAAUGUAAUUGCUUUCUAUUUCCCUACUGCCAGAUCCAAAAUAAUUAUAUUGAAGAUUUAGAUUCAACUUUUCAGUAAAAUAGCUUAAUUGAAGAAAUGCAGAAUCAA
This 1743-nucleotide long non-coding RNA is filed under the name Equus asinus (donkey). RNAcentral's name for it is "lncRNA (ENSEASG00005027610.1)". Lineage: Eukaryota; Metazoa; Chordata; Mammalia; Perissodactyla; Equidae. The record is from RNAcentral.